GCGAAGUUCAGCAGGAGAGGAGGAUUCCACAGCAGGUGACCCUGUAUUUUUUGGGAAAGGCACCAGUGAGACGGAGGGGAAGAGAACAGAGAUCUUGGACCCAAGUACUUACCUGGCGUGACUUUAAUGUGGCUGUUUCCAUUGGCCAACACCGUCCUACGUCCAGGUUCCAUAUGUAGAAUGAUAGCUGAGGUGAGAUCAAAAUUCACAUCAAAGGCAGAAAAGCAGAGCAGGAGUCAUUCCAGUGGAGCAGCGCAGGACCUGUAGCCAUGUCUGGGAUGUGUGCCCAAGUCUUUGGUUACAUCUGGCACCCAUCAGGCCACUUGCAAGCUGAGAUGAAGAGGCGUGGAGGAACGGAGUGCAGCAGCAAGCAAAGAAAUGCACCAAAAGAUGUCUCUGUGCCUGUUGGUGACAAGGACGGGAGACCAAGGAGAGGGUGAGGACCAAGGAGA
Molecule: long non-coding RNA, 452 nt
Filed under: Scleropages formosus (Asian bonytongue)
Lineage: Eukaryota; Metazoa; Chordata; Actinopteri; Osteoglossiformes; Osteoglossidae
Description: lncRNA (ENSSFOG00015031021.1)
Source: RNAcentral